This 325-nucleotide ribosomal RNA is filed under the name uncultured eukaryote. Its description in RNAcentral is "partial 18S ribosomal RNA". It matches the Rfam family "Eukaryotic small subunit ribosomal RNA", at positions 1470 to 1796 of the family's 1831-position model. The record is from RNAcentral.
CCCUUAGAUGUUCUGGGCCGCACGCGUGCUACACUGAGUGGAUCAGCGGGUCAGGUUACGCGAGAGCGUUUCCUAAUCUUCAAAUCCGCUCGUGAUGGGGAUUGACGGUUGCAAUUUUCCGUCAUGAACGAGGAAUACCUUGUAAGCGCGGGUCAUCAUCCCGCGCUGAAUACGUCCCUGCCCUUUGUACACACCGCCCGUCGCUACUACCGAUUGAAUGGUUUAGUGAGGACUCCUGAUUGGCGCCGCCGCCCCGGCAACGGAGCAGCGGACUGCCGAAAAGUUGUUCAAACUUGAUCAUUUAGAGGAAGUAAAAGUCGUAACA